Molecule: ribosomal RNA, 478 nt
Filed under: uncultured organism
Description: partial 16S ribosomal RNA
Rfam family: Bacterial small subunit ribosomal RNA
Source: RNAcentral
GUACACUCCUGCGGGAGGCAGCAGUGGGGAAUAUUGCACAAUGGGCGCAAGCCUGAUGCAGCCAUGCCGCGUGUAUGAAGAAGGCCUUCGGGUUGUAAAGUACUUUCAGCCGGGAGGAAGGCAAUACGGUUAAUAACCGUGUUGAUUGACGUUACCCGCAGAAGAAGCACCGGCUAACUCCGUGCCAGCAGCCGCGGUAAUACGGAGGGUGCAAGCGUUAAUCGGAAUUACUGGGCGUAAAGCGCACGCAGGCGGUCUGUCAAGUCGGAUGUGAAAUCCCCGGGCUCAACCUGGGAACUGCAUUCGAAACUGGCAGGCUUGAGUCUUGUAGAGGGGGGUAGAAUUCCAGGUGUAGCGGUGAAAUGCGUAGAGAUCUGGAGGAAUACCGGUGGCGAAGGCGGCCCCCUGGACAAAGACUGACGCUCAGGUGCGAAAGCGUGGGGAGCAAACAGGAUUAGAUACCCUUGUAGUCCCAUGA